RNAcentral lists this ribosomal RNA (253 nucleotides) under uncultured bacterium. Its description in RNAcentral is "partial 16S ribosomal RNA". It matches the Rfam family "Bacterial small subunit ribosomal RNA", at positions 524 to 776 of the family's 1533-position model. The record is from RNAcentral.
UACGUAGGGGGCAAGCGUUGUCCGGAAUCAUUGGGCGUAAAGCGCGUGUAGGCGGCCCGGUAAGUCCGCUGUGAAAGUCCAGGGCUCAACCCUGGGAUGCCGGUGGAUACUGCUGGACUAGAGUGCGGAAGAGGCGAGUGGAAUUCCCGGUGUAGCGGUGAAAUGCGCAGAUAUCGGGAGGAACACCAAUUGCGAAGGCAGCUCGCUGGGACGUUACUGACGCUGAGACGCGAAAGCGUGGGGAGCAAACAGG